UUUUUUAUGCCCCACCUACGAUAGUAGAGGGGCAUUAUGUUUUCUGGUCUGUGCGUCCGUUCGUCCGUCCGUCUGUCUGUCUGUCUGUCUGUCUGUCUGUUCGUUCGUUCGUCCGUCUGUCCCACUUCAGGUUAAAGUUUUUGGUCAAGGUAGUUUUUGAUGAAGUUGAAGUCCAAUCAACUUGAAACUUAGUAUACAUGUGCCCUAUGAUAUGAUCUUUUUAAUUUAAAUGCCAAAUUAUAGUUUUGACCCCAAUUUUAUGGUUCACUGAACAUAGAAAAUGAUAGUGCAAAUUUCAGGUUAAAGUUUUUGGUCAAGGUAGUUUUUGAUAAAGUAGAAGUCCAAUCAACUUGAAACUUAGUAUACAUGUUCCCUUUGAUUAGAUCAUUCUAAUUUUAAUGCCAAAUAAGAGAAUUUAUUCCAAUUUCACGGUCCACUAAACAUAGAAAAUGAUAGUGCGAGUGGGGCAUCCGUGUACUGUGGACAC
Molecule: long non-coding RNA, 487 nt
Filed under: Mytilus galloprovincialis (Mediterranean mussel)
Lineage: Eukaryota; Metazoa; Mollusca; Bivalvia; Mytilida; Mytilidae
Source: RNAcentral